AUGAGAUUCACGAUGGAAUGAAUUUAGAGCUGUACUACCAAUAAAUAUUAGUUUUAUAUUGGAGAAAACACUUGUACUUUUUGGAUUUUUUUUUAAAUGAAUGGAAUUCAAUGGCAGUAAUUUUGUCGGUUUUGUUUAUAUUAGUAUGUGAAAAGAAUGCGGGGAAUAAAUAUAAUAUUGUUCAUUUUGCUAAAGUUUUAUCAGAAAACUUUUAAAAAAUUGUAAGUGCUCUCAUGUUUACUUCUAUAUGCCCUUCUCCCCCCUCUAUAUAUACGCACUGAACGCUUACAAGAAGAUAAAUUAAUUUGCUACUAGUUUAAUGUGGGUUAAAAUAAUUUUGAAACGCAAGGAACUAAUAUGUGUGAGGCUUUAUGAAGCAGUAAGAAGACUACAUUAGCAACUAAAAUAGAGAAAAUCGUCAUGUUUCUUGCCUAAGUGAUGUAAUAAAUUUGUCAUAUAUGUAGCGGAGAUCCAUCAUGUAUUUAUUAUGGGUGUGAUUAGCACCCUCUGACGAAAACGAUGUCAUAACUUUGCGUAUACGAUAUUGGUCUCUAAAACGCCCUGGCCAAUCUUUUCGCGAUGCGGACAAGUUUAACCCUAAUCGGACCAUAUGUGUGGUUUUAUAACAAAUCUAAACACUAUAAGCCUCAUAGGCUCUUAUGAGGAUCGUGACAAUAUUUAAAUGUUACUAAAUAUGUCUAUACCUUAAUAUCAAACGAGCCAGGCCAUACGGGAUAUAUUCAUUAUAUCAAAGCGUUUGCAACGGCCAAACAGAAGUUUCAGAGGCGCAGCAAAUCAUGUCUGAUGAUACUGGCAAACAAGACUGCUCCACCGAGAGGAUCGAAGGGACCCCAAAAAUUGUGUAUUCAUACGUGUUAGACGGGCAUCGCCUUGUCUUCAUGGGAGACACAGGGCUCUUACUCAUUUUCUUCUUCUUGCAUCCCGGGAGUAAUAUGGGCUCGUAAUUGAUUGGAAUUUUUACUGAGAGUUGGAAACCGUG
Long non-coding RNA from Glossina fuscipes, 1000 nucleotides. RefSeq lists it as uncharacterized. The record is from RefSeq and is a predicted model, not a curated record. Lineage: Eukaryota; Metazoa; Arthropoda; Insecta; Diptera; Glossinidae. The transcript is spliced from 3 exons.